This is a long non-coding RNA of Onychostoma macrolepis, 1280 nucleotides long. RefSeq lists it as uncharacterized. The transcript has 4 exons. NCBI's taxonomy places the organism in Eukaryota, Metazoa, Chordata, Actinopteri, Cypriniformes, Cyprinidae. The record is from RefSeq and is a predicted model, not a curated record.
GCCCUUCAUUAUUGAGGUCGUGGAUCAUUGUGUGUUAAAAGUGUGUACAAUGUGGUUGAAAACUUGACUUCCUCUUCAUUUCUUUCUUGUCGUCACACAUGCAGGUGGAGGGAACUAGAUUUUAUAUUGAAGUGAUCAAGACAACAUGAAGAUCAUUCAGCUUCAGCUCUGUAAGUUUACAUAUUAUGAAUAUUUUUAACAUACAUUCACAAACUUUGCCAAUUUAAAACUUUUUUAAAUAAUGUUUUAUUUUUCACACAGUGGUAUUAAUCUGUUCUCAAGCUGCAGUGUCAGAUCUACUGACUGAUUCGGGAUCAAAUGUGAUCAUAAACUGUGAUCUUGAUGAAAAUGAUGUUUAUUGGAUUUUACUGAAAACAGCAGAUCCUCCAACAGUGAUUCUACGAUCAUUCUCAACACCAAAAUCACCUUUUUAUCAUAAUAAAACAUUCAGAAAGAAAUAUUCAGUGCAGUUUAAACAUCGUCUGGUUAUUAAUAAUGUGACUGUUGAUGAAUUAGGAGUUUAUUACUGUAUGAACACAGAAACACCUCUAAAACUCAGCAACAGCACCAGAAUAUACUUCAAUGAAUCAGUUCAACUAAGUGUCACUGAGUGUCCGAAUCAAACACAAUGGCAGAUUAUUAUUAUCAUAUCUGGUUUGAUGAACGGACUUCUUCUCAUUCUGCUGAUCGUUUUUGCUGCUAGAAAAGCAGAACGGUUGGAAAAACAUGUCUAUAAUGCUGAUCUGCAGACAAAAGUUACAUAUCGGCUUCAAGAUCCUAAACUUUUACCAGUACAAUAAGAACGCCGAGGUGGAGAACUAUUCAGCUGAAUAUUGAAUAUUUGAAUGAAAUGUAAUAUUUCCACCAUUACUGGUCAGUGAAAAAGAUACAGUUUAGGAGUUAGUUAUGCAUUAAGCAUCAUUGUCAGAUUCAUUGGUAUUCCUUUAUGAAGUAUGAUGUAAAUGUUUGAUCUGGUUCAUUCACAUUUAGACAUUAAAAUGUUUUGCAUGUAACAAUAAAUUAACUGAAAAAAGUCAAAGGCUGCUAGACCUUAUUAUAGUAAAUAGCAAUUUACCAAUGUACUUCUCCUUACUUUGUUAACUAUUUCAGAAACGAAAGCAUAUUUGUUUUAUAUAAUUUUUUAUAUAACAAAAAUGUGUUGUAUUCAGCCCUUGCACAAAACAACAACAAAAAAAAAAUAUUGUUUUCUUUGUUUUUGGCCUGUUAUCAUGUAUUCUAAUAAACAGACAACAAAAUUUUAGAUACUGAUUAAAAUUUGC